This 497-nucleotide ribosomal RNA is filed under the name uncultured bacterium. Its description in RNAcentral is "partial 16S ribosomal RNA". It matches the Rfam family "Bacterial small subunit ribosomal RNA", at positions 28 to 507 of the family's 1533-position model. The record is from RNAcentral.
GAUGAACGCUGGCGGCGUGCCUAAUACAUGCAAGUCGAGCGAACAGGCGAGGAGCUUGCUCCUUUGACGUUAGCGGCGGACGGGUGAGUAACACGUAGGUAACCUACCUAUAAGACUGGGAUAACUUCGGGAAACCGGAGCUAAUACCGUAUAAUAUUUCGAACCGCAUGGUUCGAUAGUGAAAGAUGGCUUUGCUAUCACUUAUAGAUGGACCUGCGCCGUAUUAGCUAGUUGGUAAGGUAACGGCUUACCAAGGCAACGAUACGUAGCCGACCUGAGAGGGUGAUAGGCCACACGGGAACGGAGACACGGUCCAGACUCCUAAGGGAGGCAGCAGUAGGGAAUCGGCGGCAAUGGGCGAAAGCCUGACGGAGCAACGCCGCGUGAGUGAUGAAGGUCUUCGGAUCGUAAAACUCGGUUAUGAGGGAAGAACAAACGUGGAAGUAACUGUGCACGUCUUGACGGUACCUAAUCAGAAAGCAACGGCUAACUACGUG